GAAAUCUUAUAUGCAUAGUAAUUGAC
This 26-nucleotide transfer RNA is filed under the name Schultesianthus leucanthus. Its description in RNAcentral is "partial tRNA-Thr". Lineage: Eukaryota; Viridiplantae; Streptophyta; Magnoliopsida; Solanales; Solanaceae. The record is from RNAcentral. RNAcentral also lists the same sequence under 1 other name.